Molecule: transfer RNA, 77 nt
Filed under: Celeribacter marinus
Lineage: Bacteria; Pseudomonadati; Pseudomonadota; Alphaproteobacteria; Rhodobacterales; Roseobacteraceae
Also listed under: 10 other names
Description: tRNA-Arg
Rfam family: tRNA
About the family: Transfer RNA (tRNA) molecules are approximately 80 nucleotides in length. Their secondary structure includes four short double-helical elements and three loops (D, anti-codon, and T loops).
Source: RNAcentral
GCACCCAUAGCUCAGCUGGAUAGAGCGCUGCCCUCCGAAGGCAGAGGCCAGAGGUUCGAAUCCUCUUGGGUGCACCA